RNAcentral lists this ribosomal RNA (492 nucleotides) under uncultured bacterium. RNAcentral describes it as "partial 16S ribosomal RNA". It matches the Rfam family "Bacterial small subunit ribosomal RNA", at positions 29 to 507 of the family's 1533-position model. The record is from RNAcentral.
AGUGAACGCUGGCGGUAGGCCUAACACAUGCAAGUCGAACGGCAGCACAGUAAGAUCUUGCUCUUACGGGUGGCGAGUGGCGGACGGGUGAGGAAUACAUCGGAAUCUACUUUUUCGGGGGGGAUAACGGAGGGAAACUUACACUAAUACCGCAUACGAUCUACGGGUGAAAGCAGGGGAUCUUCGGACCUUGCGCGAUUGAUUGAGCCGAUGUCGGAUUAGCUAGUUGGCUGGGUAAGGGCCCACCAAGGCGACGAUCCGUAGCUGGUCUGAGAGGAUGAUCAGCCACACUGGAACUGAGACACGGUCCAGACUCCUACGGGAGGCAGCAGUGGGGAAUAUUGGACAAUGGGCGCAAGCCUGAUCCAGCAAUACCGCGUGGGUGAAGAAGGUCUUCGGGUUGUAAAGCCCUUUUGUUAGGAAAGAAAAGCAGUAGGUUAAUACCCCGCUGUUCUGACGGUACCCAAAGAAUAAGCACCGGCUAACUUCGUG